CACCAGCAGCUCAAGUGGUGACCACGUUUACUGGGUUUAAAGCGUGCGUAGUCGGUUCGGCCAGUUUUCUGUGAAAUCCUGCGGCUCAACCGCAGGGAUCGCAGAAAAUACUACCGGACUCGGGACCGGGGCAGGAGUGGGGUAUUCUGGGGGUAGCGGUGAAAUGCUAUAAUCCCUGGAAGACCACCGGUAGCGAAGGCGCCACUCUGGAACGGGUCUGACGAUGAGGUACGAGAGCUAGGGGAGCGAACAGGAUUAGAUACCCUGGUAGCCCUAGCCGUAAACGAUGCGGAUUUAGUGUUCCCUGAACCUCGUGUUCGGGGAGUGCUGAAGGGAAACCGUUAAAUCCGCCACCUGGGGAGUACGGUCGCAAGGCUGAAACUUAAAGGAAUUGGCGGGGGAACACCACAAGGGGUGGAUGCUGCGGUUCAAUUGGAUACAACCCCGGAAAACUCACCAGGGGCGACGGCACUAUGAAGGCCAGGCUAAAGGUCUUGCCGGAGGAGCCGAGAGGUAGUGCAUGGCCGUCGUCAGCUCGUACCGUGAGGCGUACGGUUAAGUCCGUUAACGAGCGAGACCCGUACCAUUAUUUGCAACCUUCGAGGAGACUUGAGGGGUACUAUAGUGGGACUGCAUGCGAUGAGUGUGAGGAAGGCGCGGGCAACGGUAGGUCAGUAUGCUCCGAAUCUCCUGGGCUACACGCGGCAUACAAUGGCAGGUACAAUGGGUCGCAACGCCGAAAGGCGGAGCUAAUCCCCUAAAGCCUGUCCAAGUACGGAUUGAGGGUUGAAACUCACCCUCAUGAAGCUGAAAUCCCUAGUAAUCGCUUUUUACCAUAAAGCGGUGAAUAUGUCCCUGUUCCU
RNAcentral lists this ribosomal RNA (863 nucleotides) under uncultured archaeon. RNAcentral's name for it is "SSU rRNA". It matches the Rfam family "Archaeal small subunit ribosomal RNA", at positions 474 to 1337 of the family's 1478-position model. The record is from RNAcentral.